GUGCUUGCUUCGGCAGCACAUGUACUAAAAUUGGAACGAUACAGAGAAGAUUAGCAUGGCCCCUGCGCAAAAAAUCUUUUGAAUAAGUGUUAUUAAAAUAAUAAUAUU
Labeo rohita (rohu) is the source of this 108-nucleotide small nuclear RNA. The record is from RefSeq and is a predicted model, not a curated record. NCBI's taxonomy places the organism in Eukaryota, Metazoa, Chordata, Actinopteri, Cypriniformes, Cyprinidae.